CAGAAAUGAAGUUGGACAUGCUUUCGUCACCAGAUCUCUCCAAGGCAACGCCAUCAGAAUCUCAUGCAGCCAUCCAACCAAAUUCUUCCGACAGGCCACAUUAUAUUUUGUUGACAAAUCCUCAGGGAACCAAGUCUGAUAUUGUUCAUCCAAGUCCCUUCAGUCGGGCCAGGAAUAUGUCCAUGUCAACCAGACAAUCUCCAGCUGACAUGACUCAUGUUGAACCUGAAGCAACUGUACCAAAAGUUGCUCCCAAACCAGCCUUCAGACCACUCCCAAAACCAGUUAUUCAACACAAAACAACUCCGGAAAGUAAACCGAUUGAAUCUGAGAAAUAUCUCAUCUUUGAGGACAUCCUGUUU
This is a long non-coding RNA of Perca fluviatilis (European perch), 362 nucleotides long. RefSeq lists it as uncharacterized. The transcript has 3 exons. NCBI's taxonomy places the organism in Eukaryota, Metazoa, Chordata, Actinopteri, Perciformes, Percidae. The record is from RefSeq and is a predicted model, not a curated record.